CACGUAUGAGAACAAAGCAGGCAACCAGGAUGAUUACUCCCAAAUCAUUGACAAAAGGAGAGAGAAGUACAGAGAUACAGUGAUUGGGGGUUGCCAAAAAGUUGCACGAGUGUUUCAACUGGAUAUUGCAACUGAAGACAUUCACUCUGCAUUGAUCACCUAUGGAGUGAUCAACUUUCAACCCUUUGAAGUUUCCUAAAUCAAGAAAUGUGGUUACUGUCGGCCACCACAGUCAGAACCAGAGGACACCAUGCUGGCUAACGGAAUCCAGAUGCUCUGGGUCUCAAGUGUGCCAAGAUCAUUACUCCACGUUAUUGCUCUGUUUCAGAUAAUUGCCAGAGAAAACGCUAAGGUUG
Molecule: long non-coding RNA, 356 nt
Filed under: Rhinopithecus bieti (black snub-nosed monkey)
Lineage: Eukaryota; Metazoa; Chordata; Mammalia; Primates; Cercopithecidae
Description: lncRNA (ENSRBIG00000045421.1)
Source: RNAcentral